UGUGUUUACUUCGAGUGUGACUUUAAUCAGAUUAAGAUCAUCAGUAAUCUCUGUUUACAUGCUGCUGUCUUAAUCAGAGUCUCGUCUUAAUCGGAUUAAUAUCGGAUUAUCGCCGUGCGUGUAAACGUGCAGACAUUUGAACCUAAUAGUUUUUUACCGUGCUGUGUCAAAUCUAACACUUUAAUGUUAAUAAUAAUGUUAAUGCGGUGAUGAUAAGUAGAAAGUAAUCAUUAGAAGGUGAUUAAAUAGACUGCUUUAUUUACACUUUGAGCAGCAGGUCAGCAGAGACAGAGUCGGCCAUGUGGACGCUACACGCGUCACCCGUUUGUGAAAGGAUUCCAUAAGAAACGUCCCCCAGGGUGUUUGUUUGUUUGUUUGUUUGUUUUACUGUUUAUUGUGCAUUAUUGUGGAAUCACCUGAGAAUCCUCCAUCCAGCUGAGAUUUUGAAUGAAUGAAUGAAUGAAAGGCAGAAAGCAAGCACGGCAGACAGGAAGAAAGAAAGAGGAAGAACGAGAAAGAGUUGACGUGUACAGGUCCACUGAGAGACUCUGAAGUGUACGGCGUUCCCUGUUGGUGUUUUCAGAGUCACAGUUUGUUUGAUGUUCACUGGAACACAUCUGGAGAUACCGAGCUGCUGCGCUGCGCUGAUGUUGUGGGCAUUUUAUGGACUGCAGGUUAAUAAACAUCGAUAUGUUUACACACAGUUUACACACGCAGACCUGUGCUGUUUAACACCGAGCAUUUACACCGCUAAUGAGGGUGUGUGUGUGGGUGUGUGUGUGUGUGUGUGAGCAGCUUAUAACCUACUUUAUAGCCGAUGUGUGGUACACACUCAGAGCUCUACUGUUCAACACACACACACACACACACACACACACACACACACACACACACUCAGAGAUCUGCUGUGUACCCGUACCGAGCUACAUUCAGUCUGUUGUAACAUUUCUGUUAUACAGUGGGCGUGUCCUCGAGUCUGUAGGAUGAUGUGGUGAAGUUUUCUGUACAUUUGCGUAACAUGGAAUAGAGAGAGGGAAUAGAGAGAGAAUAGAGAGAGGGAAUAGAGAGAGAAUAGAGAGAGGGAAUAGAGAGAGAAUAGAGAGAGGGAAUAGAGAGAGGGAAUAGAGAGAGAAUAGAGAGGGAAUAGAGAGAGAAUAGAGAGAGGGAAUAGAGAGAGAAUAGAGAGAGGGAAUAGAGAGAGAAUAGAGAGAGGGAAUAGAGAGAGGGAAUAGAGAGAGAAUAGAGAGAGGGAAUAGAGAGGGAGAAUAAAGAGAAGGUUGGUGAGGGAAUGAGUGUUCAUAGCCGCUAUAACAUAAAUAAGAACAGGAAGUCAUUUCACAGAACAUUAAAUGUAACUAUAAACGCAUAAAAAGUAAUCCUGUCACAUCUGCUGGUUAAUAAAAAAUAUCUAUAAAAAUGACAUGCACUAUAUGAAAGCCAGUGACGCAAGACUUCCAAAUACGGACGCAGAGACCCGCCCACAUCCCCGUCUAUAGUCCUGAAGACACGACCCCACAGAGUCAAAGACCACGCCCCCUCUACACACGAAGAUCUCAUCAUCUAUUAAUCUAUCUCUUAAUGACAAGGCUGAUCCCUUCUACUACGCUGUACACGCUCUGAAAUUGUUUAAUAUCAACAUCAUAAUGAAUAGAGGGAAAUAAAGCAGCAGGUAUGACACGGGAUCAAACGGCUGUAUUGGUUGAAAAUAAACACAUAAAUGUACAUAAACACAUAAACAAAUAAACAAAUAAAACAUAAAUGACAUCAGAUUGUGUUACUGCAGGAGGCGAUAUGACAGUGCUGGUGUCACUACUCACAUCUGGAAUGUCUGCAGCAGUUUAUAAUGUAUAUAUAUAUAUGUUCUCAUUUUCAAACAUGAAAGUAAACAGACGAAUCAGAAAGGAAUGAGAAUGAUGUGGAAGAGUAGAGGCGUGCGGACCGGAACCCGCUGCUCGGCGUUUGCUAAAUAAAGUGAGCAGAAAGUACUGAAAAACACAGACCUAUAUUUUGUACAGUUUUGAGUCAUUUUUUCAAGUUUUGUCUGAAAAAAGCGGAAUGUAAGAAAGAAAAGAAUUUGAAAUAAUGUAUCUGACAUCAACUAAUAAUUACAUUAUAAUAAUAUAGUAAUUAUAAUAUUAUAAUAGCGAUAGAAAAGGGUAUACAGUGACCUAAUCACUCAUUUUUCUUUUACAGGAGCGUGACCUGAAAUAUUUGGAACUCAUCAGUUUGUGAAAAGGGGAGGAGCUUUCACACGGCCGUGGUGAGACAGAAUGUUUCUCCGCCAUUAGGCUCCGCCUCCUUCACGUCUGCGUCCCCGCUCGCUCCCGCCUCCUUUCCUUUCUGCGUCGCUUCUUCGUCAAUGUACAGCAAGGGUUCUUUCUCCUCCCACUUCCCGACCUCGGGUGACCCCGGCCGCCCCACGCCUCCGUUCUCCUCCGAAGGCACGAAAGUGCUGAGCCCCGUCACCUCCCCUCCCCCGUCCGUCUUCUUCUCCUCUCCUUGCACAUCGCCUUCAUCUGGAGCCUCGCAAUCCCCGCCUCCUAAUUCCACGGGCCCCGCCCAGACGUUGUCCUCCGUGCCUUUCUUCUUCUUGGACCUCUGUCCGUUCGUGUAGCCGAAGCUCUGCUUGCCACUUCGCUUCUGCUUGCGUUUGAUGAGGAUGGUGACGCAAAAAAUCGUUAAUAUGCCGAAAAUGACCAACGCUAUGACAGCGAUGAUUAACCAUUUAGUUCCCGUCCUGGACCCUUCACCCUCUGUAGACAGUACAAGGUUCAGGUUGGUGGCCUGCCCCUGGGUAGUGAUGAGGGGGGUGGUGGGCAUGGUGGUGAUGAGGGGGGUGGUGGGCAUGGUGGUGGUGGUGGUGGUGGUGAUGGUGGUGGUGGUGCUAGGUGUGGGCAUGGUUGUUGGAGAAGUGUCGGUGGUCUCCACUUUCUCAACAGAAGCAGGUGUAGGUGUGAAAACUGGUGGUUUUGUGCUUAAGGCUGUUGUAUCAGGGAUGGUUUGAGAUGGGGUCUCAGGAGGCUUAGUGCUGAUGAUGUUUGUCAUAGUGGUCUUCUCCGUCACGGGCUGAGACGUGGGUUCGGAAGGAGCAGCCGGAGUGGUGAGCUCAUUCGUCGUCAUGACGGUCGCAGGAAUGGUUGCAGGCUCUGGAGUCAGAUGCACUGACGUGGUCUGAAGCUCUGAAGUAGUCUGAAGCUCUGGAAUGGACAUCACUGUGCGUCCGUCUGAUGUUUGCGGCACAUUCCCAGUCUCAGUUGUUAGACCUUCAGUGGUGGAGAAGUUGUUGUUAUCAUACUCCAUGUUCUUCAUGGUUGUUUCCUCAGGCUCAGUGGGAGAGUUUUCACCUGAUCUCGAUCCGGUCACCUGCGGGAAGACCGUGCUCUCUUUACUCGGCAUGCUCGUGGACUCCUCUGCGUUCAGGAGCCUGACGUCAGGUCCGAGAGCUAGCGAGAAGACCAGAGAGAUGAAAAGCAGGUACAUCCUGUUUCACUGCAGCACCUCGGUGAAGAGCUUUUUAUUUAUUUUUUGCUUUUUCUUGUACCGCGAUUGGAUAUGUUCGAUUCAGGUACGUGCCGUGAGCUUCAGCAUGUCCCGAAAAUCAUAAACAUCUGCAGCUUUAGUUUCUUCAGCAGAGAUUUAAACACGAUGACUUUUUAUUCAUAACCAUGACAUCUCUUCAUCUCAGUCUCAGUUCUGUUCUUUUCUCCGUGCUGUGGCUGUUCUCUGAGGUUAAACUCGCAUUAAUCUAGGCCGGAAAGACACAACCCUUCUCUUCCUCUUUCUCCCUCCGUCUCGCUCUCUCUCGCGCUCUCGCUCUCUCUCUCUCUCGUUUUCCUGUUCAGUGCACCUGGGGUGUGGUGCAGAAAGUCAAAGAGUUGUGAAAGAAAGAGAGGGAAAAUGAAGAUUAGUUUAGUGUACUCACGCAAAACCAUUUCCUAUCAAACAGAAUCUGAAAAAAAUGAAUAACUUUAUUGUGUUUCGCAAUAAACAUCUAAACUCCCGAAGUGACUGGUUUUCUUACAGUUUAUUCGCUGUUGGAGCUGCAGACUCCACAGAAUUAGUCGACUGAAUGAGGGCUAAAGUUAACAUAAAGUUCAACCGCGCGAACACAGAGUAAUAUGUGCAGUAAGAGUAUUCAAACCAAGCCCACGUUCAGCUCAGUGAAUAUUCAGCAGGUUCUAAGAAGGUCGGGUCAUAACGUUCUAGAAAUAACGUUCAUACAACGUUAUAAAAAACAAACAAACAAACACAAAAACGUCUGCUGUAAUCACAGGAACGUUAUAUAAAGUGUUACAGCAGCGUUGUAGGAACGUUCACGACCGUUAUUUUCAGAACAUUAAGGUUGCAGUAAAGUUAACAGCUUGCAUGGGCUUUAACCCAACGACACGUCUCUACACGUCAUGUUCCAGUCCAUCGCUUUAGAGGAUUCAACACGAGCCCAUCGUUACAUUAAACACCCGAGCAGACAAAAACACACGCCGUCUUUAAACACUUCCACACACUGGAAACCACACUGCUCAUCAACACACUCUCACACACUCUCACACUCUCACACACACUCUCACACACACUCUCACACACUCUCACACACUCUCACACACUCUCACAUACUC
Ictalurus punctatus (channel catfish) is the source of this 4613-nucleotide long non-coding RNA. NCBI's taxonomy places the organism in Eukaryota, Metazoa, Chordata, Actinopteri, Siluriformes, Ictaluridae. The record is from Ensembl.